AUUGAACGCUGGCGGCAGGCCUAACACAUGCAAGUCGAACGAGUGGCGGACGGGUGAGUAAUGUCUGGGAAACUGCCUGAUGGAGGGGGAUAACUACUGGAAACGGUAGCUAAUACCGCAUACCAUCGGAGGUGCCCAGAUGGGAUUAGCUAGUAGGUGGGGGAACGGCUCACCUAGGAGACGAUCCCUAGCUGGUCUGAGAGGAUGACCAGCCACACGGGAACUGAGACACGGUCCAGACGCCUACGGUAGGCAGCAGUGAGGAAUAUUGCACUAGGGGCGCAAGCCUGAUACAGCCAUGCCGCGUGUAUGAUGAAGGCCUUCGGGUUGUAAAGUACUUUCAGCGGGGAGACGUUACCCGCAGAAGAAGCACCGGCUGACUCCGUGCCAGCAGCCGCGGUAAUUC
RNAcentral lists this ribosomal RNA (406 nucleotides) under uncultured bacterium. Its description in RNAcentral is "partial 16S ribosomal RNA". It matches the Rfam family "Bacterial small subunit ribosomal RNA", at positions 30 to 526 of the family's 1533-position model. The record is from RNAcentral.